GAAAUGCGAUAAGUAAUGUGAAUUGCAGAAUUCAGUGAAUCAUCGAAUCUUUGAACGCACAUUGCGCCCGCCAGUAUCCUGGCGGGCAUGCCUGUUCGAGCGUCAUUACAACCCUCAGGCCCCCGGGCCUGGCGUUGGGGAUCGGCGGAAGCCCCCUGCGGGCACAACGCCGUCCCCCAAAUACAGUGGCGGUCCCGCCGCAGCUUCCAUUGCGUAGUAGCUAACACCUCGCAACUGGAGAGCGGCGCGGCCACGCCGUAAAACACCCAACUUCUGAAUGUUGACCUCGAAUCAGGUAGGAAUACCCGCUGAACUUAAGC
Molecule: unclassified non-coding RNA, 320 nt
Filed under: plant metagenome
Description: partial contains 5.8S ribosomal RNA, internal transcribed spacer 2, and large subunit ribosomal RNA
Rfam family: 5.8S ribosomal RNA (bases 1-105)
Source: RNAcentral